GUAAAGGGGGGGUCGGCUGUUUCGUAAAUUGUGUGUGAAAAGCCCGGGCUUCACCCGCGGACGGCACUUGAAAAUGCGAGACUAGAGUAAUGGAGGGGGAACCGGAAUUUUCGGUGUAGCAGUGAAAUGGGUAGAUAUUGAGAGGAACCCUCGUGGGGAAGGGGGGCUCCUGGACAUUAACUGACGCUGAGGCACGAAAGCCAGGGGAGCCAAACGGAUUAGAUACCCCUGUAGUUCCGGCCGUAAACGGUGCACCCUUGGUGGGCGGGGAAAUCGUCCCCCUGCGUGCCGGAGCUAACGCGUUAAGCCGUGCCGCCUGGGGAGUACGGUCGCAAGAUUUAAAACUCAAAGAAAUUGACGGGGACCCGCACAAGCGGUGGAGUAUGUGGCUUAAUUUGAUGCAACGCGAAGAACCUUACCUGGGCUUGACAUGUAAUGAACAACAUGUGAAAGCAUGCGACUCUUCGGAGGCGUUACACAGGUGCUGCAUGGCCGUCGUCAGCUCGUGUCGUGAGAUGUUUGGUUAAGUCCAGCAACGAGCGCAACCCCUGUUGCCAGUUACCAGCACGUGAAGGUGGGGACUCUGGCGAGACUGCCCAGAUCAACUGGGAGGAAGGUGGGGACGACGUCAGGUCAGUAUGGCCCUUAUGCCCAGGGCUACACACGUACUACAAUGCCCAGUACAGAGGGGGCCGAAGUCGCGAGGCGGAGGAAAUCCUGAAAACUGGGCCCAGUUCGGACUGUAGGCUGCAACCCGCCUACACGAAGCCGGAAUCGCUAGUAAUGGCGCAUCAGCUACGGCGCCGUGAAUACGUUCCCGGGUCUUGCACUCACCGCCCGUCA
This 843-nucleotide ribosomal RNA is filed under the name uncultured bacterium. RNAcentral's name for it is "bacterial SSU rRNA". It matches the Rfam family "Bacterial small subunit ribosomal RNA", at positions 560 to 1399 of the family's 1533-position model. The record is from RNAcentral.